Long non-coding RNA from Musca domestica (house fly), 719 nucleotides. RefSeq lists it as uncharacterized. The transcript is spliced from 3 exons. The record is from RefSeq and is a predicted model, not a curated record. NCBI's taxonomy places the organism in Eukaryota, Metazoa, Arthropoda, Insecta, Diptera, Muscidae.
UUCCAAUUGCCUAUCACACUGAACAUACCCUAUCAAAUUAUAUUUGACAAUUUAUAUUUGUGAAAAUUUAAAACUGAACCGGCAGCAGCAAAAACUCGGAAGGAAGAAAAUCGGGCAAAGUACAAUAACCGCGAAAAAACAACAAAAACCAUCAAUUUCAAAACGCAAUAAAAGUCAAUGGCUGGAACAAUUUUAAAAGCAGAAAAACAAGGAUUGUUAUUAAUAAAUUCUUUUCAAGCAACGAAACAGGAAGUUGGCGUUUGUGCUCUAAUGUUGUGGGCGGAAAAGAAACUAUGAUGUUGGAAUACUCCAUGGCCUCCUCCAUUGUUUGGUGGCUUGCAAAUUUCUUCACAAUUAUGGAAAGAUUGUUCGUCGUAAUAUUUGUGAAAGACAAUUGUCAUUAAAAAGAAAUGUGUCGGAAAAAAUGAAUUGUCAUGGAGAAAUAAUUGGUGUUGGAUGAAAUCAGACACAAAAUCGCGAACCGGCAAUUAUGGGCAUAAUUGGAAUCUAUUAAACUGCCAAGUCCAAUACAAUAUUGGCGAUAUGAAAGGAUGUCAUGUCCCACAAAUUCGUACUAUUUUUAAUACCAUGAAAAUGGCUUAAUCCUUGCUCAAUUCAAUACAUUUGUUGCCUUGAUCAAGGAAAUGUUUGACCGGGGCGAAACAGAACAAAGGGAAAAUUGGAACAAUUAUCCACAAUACAAAAAUAUAACAAAUGAG